RNAcentral lists this ribosomal RNA (3263 nucleotides) under Triticum aestivum (bread wheat). RNAcentral describes it as "partial small subunit ribosomal RNA". The record is from RNAcentral. Lineage: Eukaryota; Viridiplantae; Streptophyta; Magnoliopsida; Poales; Poaceae.
UAGGAAAAGGGGAGCGGGUAGAAGAAGGGGAAACGGAGGGGUUCAGCGGCCGUUAAGAGGUACGGCGAGUCUGCUGAGGAGCGGCCGCUUUUAAGGUAUAAAGCAGCAGGACCGGUAAGGUGCUAAACAGAAGGGCUACCGGCUAUGUAGCUACAGAUGUGACUGCUGCUACCCUGAGAGCAGUGGCCGCCUAGCCUCCCGGCCGGCGGUGCCGGACAGGUUCUUUAGAAGCGGCUGUAGGCCGCGGCAGUCCGCCGCCGACUCCUGCGGCGGGCAGCGGAGGUGAUGGGCGUCGCCGCAGGUGUCGGGGCAGGUGGUAGUCUAAGCCGGAGGUGCUCGGUUGGUGGAGGUUGGGGGAGGGGAGGGGAGGUGAGGUGAGGUGGUAGUCUACGUCGGGUGGGGGGACGUUGGGGAAGGGGAGGGGAGGUGGCAGUCGACGUCGGAGGUGUUUGGCUUGGGUAGGGGAUACGAGGUCCGUUCGGAGCGGGGAAAUGUGAGUGGCUCGACCUACGCUAUGCAGCUGCGCAUCGUCUACGUAGAUUCCUUAAGCGGGUGAGGCUGAUGCGACUGCCCCUACCCCUUGAGAAGUGCCUGCAGCUGUUCUAUAGAGUUGCGCAUCGUCUACAUGCGUACCUUCAGCGGACGAGGCUGUAGGUCUGCUCCGGGAUGCUAGCCGGCGUUGGAGGUGUCACGCUCAUGGGAAGAAUACUACACGGACUCGUCAACCUUUGCGGUGACGAUCUCGGUUUCUUGUGGUUGUGAAGUAGAAGGAGGUGUGUCGGUCUCCGCGAUUGAGUACUGUAGAACGGUCACAGCUCCGUUAACAGAGGCGGAUAAAAGCGAGCGUUAGGAAGACCAACCGUAUAUGUCAAAAAGUAGUCUUAUCUACAGCUCCCAAGAAAGGUGUGCAUAGGAUCAGACCCGCCUGGUAAGGUCUCGAACGUCCUUCGACUCUUACGAUAGUGAUCGGUAGAACUACUCGACGCGAGAGGUUACUACACGUGUCUACCCGAAAGCCUACGACUCUAACCAUAUAAUGUGCUGGAAAUGACCGGACUACCGUGUUCCGUCUUAAGAAGACUUCCGCUACGCCUGGUAUCCUUAUAUUCGAAUAACCAAGUUCGCAAUGACCUGUUUAUGUUACUUCUAGUGGUAGAAGACCCCCUAAAACGUGUACUUGAACUACUACAACAAUAGAAGGCUCUUAAACAACUCCCCCUCUUUCACCAAUCCAAGAUAGUAUAGUUAGACCGAUGUUUUUGGUUUCCUCUUCUACCAAACGUGUCACCGCAGUUGUUAGAUAAAAAACGACUUCAGUCUGUUUAAUUUCCUCUUUUACAUAUACAUGAGUCAACAAAUACAUACCAAUUUGGAUGACUGUCACCGGUUACGAUACCAACGAACUCAAUACCUUUAUAACUAAACUUCGUGGGACAACUAUGACUAUUUAUGUUUCCACCGGUGUGACGGGGCGCGAGUGGGACAACGCCAAAACUAGAUGCCACACUACAUGGACGUAUGUAACUCCUACUCCUACUCCUCCGAUCCGACCGCUUCCUCCUCCGAUCCAAUUCUAUAUAUAUGUUCACGGGACGAGGCCGUUUUAACCUACCACGUUCUCACGCACGACCAAACCGUUUCUCUCUCCUACGACCAAACUGGUUCCCUCUCACACCGGUCCCUUUUCGCUUUAUGUAACACGGACGAUCCGCAGCAGACGACCAAACUCAUUGGGUAGUCCAUGCAUCUAUUUAAAUUAAACUAAAUCCAUUACGAACUAGAGUAAUGAGUAGUCACAGGAGCCACAAAGUAAUCCAAGUUCGUAAUAUCAUAAAAAUGUUAGACGUGCCAACGUACAAAGACGUACCAUUACUAAGAAAUCAACCUCCCGUCCGGACCGCGUCACCACUUCAGGAGGGUGAACACGGUUCUCCAGGACCCAAGCUUGGUCGGAGAGACGUAACGUGAAACGUCCCCGUUCUGAUCCAAGGAUAUUAGGGAGGGGUCUGGGGUGGAACACACCCUCGAAGAUACGUGACCCAGACAGGAUUACUAAGAAAUCAACUAGUUGAUCUCAGACCUAGUUCACAAUCCCGUUAGCUAAAGUUUAAAACGAUCUGUAAAUUCGUGAUCACAGUAAAUACUAGUUAGUUGAUGGUUACAAGAGUUUGGUAAAAAAAUUACUAAACUUAAUAUCACUUCCUCCUACCGUAACAAUCUUUACUUUUAUAUACGAAGACUGUACAAAAUAAAUUAUUGAAGACAGUAGGAUGGUAACAAGGGAAAACCCUCCACUACGAGUUAAACAAAAAUAGUACAUGUACGGUUUAACGGUUUUUUCUUUAAGGUAACUACUCAACAAAAGGAAGUCUUGAGGAACUAUAACAACGUGAUAAAAGUCUUCAACUUGAUCGGCCAACUACAACGUACCGUAUUGAUAAGAAAUCAAAGAUCAUAGAACCUCUGCCUAAUUUAGCGACACGUGGUAUUAAACCCUACAACAACGACGUUAUCAUCUUACAUACCUGGACGGUAAACGAAACCUGAACCAACAUCGACGAGCCUUCAAACCACGAAACCCAGGCAUUACCACAUUACAAAGUAUAAAAUCAAGGUACCUUCCAGACGUUACCUCGACGGAAAACAAAAAAAUUUACAACAGUUAUAAAUACGAAGUCAGAAAGUGGCUGUGUAUUCAAAGGUAGAUCAAUCGUGUGUACGAGGCGUAGAUUAAAAGUAGCUGUGCAUUAAACGGUACUGCAAUCGUGUAUCCACGGAGUAGAUUAAAAAGUACUGCCAUUGGUCAUACCUUACUUUCCUUCGUACAUACUAUUUCGUACGUACUAUACCUGUGUACCUUACUUAUAACCUUGGUAUACAUACGUCCCACUAAUUUCCUUCAAACGCUCCCUUGAAACGUUAAUAAGACCUUCGUAUAAAGAUACCUAAACUUCGUUUAAAAUCAAAACAACUUCGAUCACAGCAGCGAAUGUUGAGUAGACGUACGGUCCAAGCUCGUUUACUCAACUCUACCUAUUUAAGUUCUUCUAUUUUCGGUCACACGAGCUCGGUGAAAGUGAAAGUAGGAUCAAAACUCUUUAUGACAUCAUAUUGUUUAAAUAUGUUUCUGUUUACAAUUUUCUUAUAAAGCCGGAAGUUUUCAUUGGAAAGUUCCCCUCCGCUUAACCAAUGAGUCAACCAAUGUUUGUGCAUGUGAAGUGUAGCUUCCCUUCUGCUCACAUGUAGCUUCCCUUCUGCGGUCC